GGAGAAGGUGGUGAAAAAGAGGAUACCUAGUCAGUUGCACAACGGAAUGCAUUCAACCCUCUCUGAAUCAGAGAGGUAUGGGAGCUGCCUUAAUUGACGUCAUCGGCGCCCAGGGAGCAAUUGUUGGGGGUUAACUGCCUUGCUCAAGGGCAGAACAGCAGAUAUUUUUCACCUUGCCACCUUGGGGAUUCGAACCAGCAACCUUUCAGUUAUUGGUCCAAUGCUCUUAAAUGCUAGACUACCUGUUGCAGGGAAAGAGAGAGGUAGUGGGGUUUUAGCGAUCGAGAGGGAGAAGUGAAGAGGGAGAGGUAGUGGGGGUUUAGAGAGGGAGAAGUGAAGAGAGAGGUAGUGGGGGUUUAGAGAUCGAGAGAGGGAGAAGUGAAGAGAGAGGUAGUGGGGGUUUAGAGAUCGAGAGAGGGAGAAGUGAAGAGAGAGGUAGUGGGGGUUUAGAGAUCGAGAGAGGGAGAAGUGAAGAGAGGUAGUGGAGGUUUAGAGAUCGAGAGAGGGAGAAGUGAAGAGAGAGGUAGUGGAGGUUUAGAGAUCGAGAGAGGGAGAAGUGAAGAGAGAGAUUAAAGUGGUGGCUACAGAGACAGAAAGAGAAAGAUGUAGAGACUUUUUGUGAGAGAGCGUGCAAUUUCAUUAUGUCUGCUGUAGCCCAUACCAAAUAUGGAGUGCUUGCCCCCCACUCACCUCAAAUUACCUUACCUUUUAAUGUCUGGUAUUACUACACUCCUGCAAUGCAACCCUUCCCAAUUUCAACCAUCACCACCAUUAUCCUAAUUUCUUGAGAGGGUAAAGAGGAGAGCGUUUUUCUGCCCCUGAAAUUAAGUGGGAUCUUUCACUGUGCAUAGAUGGG
Oncorhynchus tshawytscha (Chinook salmon) is the source of this 856-nucleotide long non-coding RNA. The record is from Ensembl. Lineage: Eukaryota; Metazoa; Chordata; Actinopteri; Salmoniformes; Salmonidae.